RNAcentral lists this ribosomal RNA (253 nucleotides) under uncultured bacterium. RNAcentral describes it as "partial 16S ribosomal RNA". It matches the Rfam family "Bacterial small subunit ribosomal RNA", at positions 524 to 776 of the family's 1533-position model. The record is from RNAcentral.
UACGUAGGGUGCAGGCGUUAAUCGGAAUUACUGGGCGUAAAGCGCUCGCAGGCGGUCCGAUGCGUCGUGCGUGAAAGCCCCCGGCUCAACUGGGGAGGGUCACGCGAUACUGGUCGACUCGAAGGCAGGAGAGGGUAGUGGAAUUCCCGGUGUAGUGGUGAAAUGCGUAGAUAUCGGGAGGAACACCAGUGGCGAAGGCGACUACCUGGCCUGUUCUUGACGCUGAGGCGCGAAAGCUAGGGGAGCAAACGGG